This 447-nucleotide ribosomal RNA is filed under the name uncultured bacterium. Its description in RNAcentral is "bacterial SSU rRNA". It matches the Rfam family "Bacterial small subunit ribosomal RNA", at positions 28 to 457 of the family's 1533-position model. The record is from RNAcentral.
GAUGAACGCUGGCGGCGUGCUUAACACAUGCAAGUCGAGCGAAGCAGUUAAGUUGAUUUCUUCGGAUUGAUUCUUAACUGACUGAGCGGCGGACGGGUGAGUAACGCGUGGGUGACCUGCCCCAUACCGGGGGAUAGCAGCUGGAAACGGCUGCUAAUACCGCAUAAGCGCACAGAGCUGCAUGGCUCGGUGUGAAAAACUCCGGUGGUAUGGGAUGGGCCCGCGUCUGAUUAGGCAGUUGGCGGGGUAACGGCCCACCAAACCGACGAUCAGUAGCCGGCCUGAGAGGGCGACCGGCCACAUUGGGACUGAGACACGGCCCAAACUCCUACGGGAGGCAGCAGUGGGGAAUAUUGCACAAUGGGGGAAACCCUGAUGCAGCGACGCCGCGUGAGCGAAGAAGUAUUUCGGUAUGUAAAGCUCUAUCAGCAGGGAAGAUAAUGACGG